AUUGAACGCUGGCGGCAGGCUUAACACAUGCAAGUCGAGCGGGGUGAUGGUGCUUGCACUAUCACUUAGCGGCGGACGGGUGAGUAAUGCUUAGGAAUCUGCCUAUUAGUGGAGGACAACAUCUCGAAAGGGACGCUAAUACCGCAUACGUCCUACGGGAGAAAGCAGGGGAUCACUUGUGACCUUGCGCUAAUAGAUGAGCCUAAGUCGGAUUAGCUAGUUGGUGGGGUAAAGGCCUACCAAGGCGGCGAUCUGUAGCGGGUCUGAGAGGAUGAUCCGCCACACUGGGACUGAGACACGGCCCAGACUCCUACGGGAGGCAGCAGUGGGGAAUAUUGGACAAUGGGGGGAACCCUGAUCCAGCCAUGCCGCGUGUGUGAAGAAGGCCUUAUGGUUGUAAAGCACUUUAAGCGAGGAGGAGGCUCUUUUGGUUAAUACCCAAGAUGAGUGGACGUUACUCGCAGAAUAAGCACCGGCUAACUCUGUGCCAGCCGCCGCCGUAA
RNAcentral lists this ribosomal RNA (503 nucleotides) under uncultured bacterium. RNAcentral describes it as "partial 16S ribosomal RNA". It matches the Rfam family "Bacterial small subunit ribosomal RNA", at positions 30 to 523 of the family's 1533-position model. The record is from RNAcentral.